Molecule: ribosomal RNA, 264 nt
Filed under: Triticum aestivum (bread wheat)
Lineage: Eukaryota; Viridiplantae; Streptophyta; Magnoliopsida; Poales; Poaceae
Description: partial small subunit ribosomal RNA
Source: RNAcentral
UUUAAAGUUCUUAAAGUGCAUGAUUGUUUUCCCAAUGCAAGUAUUGCAUAUAGAGUUCUUCUGACCAUCCCUGUGACCACGGAACGAAGCUUUCCGAAAUUGAAGCUAUUGAAAUCUUAUAUGCACACUACCAUGACACAACAAAGACUUACUGAUUUGGCCACAAUAGCACCUGAGGGUGAAGUAUUGGAGAAUAUUGAUUACGAGGAUAUUAUUAAAGAUUUUAUUUCAAGGAACACUAAAAGAAUGAUGCUAUUUAAGUGA